RNAcentral lists this transfer RNA (76 nucleotides) under Sphingobacteriaceae bacterium. RNAcentral's name for it is "tRNA-Phe". It matches the Rfam family "tRNA". From Rfam's summary of the family: Transfer RNA (tRNA) molecules are approximately 80 nucleotides in length. Their secondary structure includes four short double-helical elements and three loops (D, anti-codon, and T loops). The record is from RNAcentral. Lineage: Bacteria; Pseudomonadati; Bacteroidota; Sphingobacteriia; Sphingobacteriales; Sphingobacteriaceae.
GGUACCAUAGCUCAGAUGGUAGAGCAAUGGACUGAAAAUCCAUGUGUCACUGGUUCGAUCCCAGUUGGUACCACAA